CUGGGUUUGACAUGCACGGAAAUCCAUCAGAGAUGGUGGGUCCUUCGGGGUCGUGCACAGGUGGUGCAUGGCUGUCGUCAGCUCGUGUCGUGAGAUGUUGGGUUAAGUCCCGCAACGAGCGCAACCCUUGUCCCAUGUUGCCAGCAAGUUGUGUUGGGGACUCAUGGGAGACUGCCGGGGUCAACUCGGAGGAAGGUGGGGAUGACGUCAAGUCAUCAUGCCCCUUAUGUCCAGGGCUUCACGCAUGCUACAAUGGCCGGUACAAACCGUUGCGAGCCCGUGAGGGGGGGCGAAUCGGAAAAAGCCGGUCUCAGAUCGGAUCGGGGUCUGCAACUCGACCCCGUGAAGUCGGAGUCGCUAGUAAUCGCAGAUCAGCAACGCUGCGGUGAAUA
Molecule: ribosomal RNA, 392 nt
Filed under: uncultured bacterium
Lineage: Bacteria
Description: bacterial SSU rRNA
Rfam family: Bacterial small subunit ribosomal RNA
Source: RNAcentral